GAACGGUAGCACAGAGAGCUUGCUCUUGGGUGACGAGUGGCGGACGGGUGAGUAAUGUCUGGGAAACUGCCCGAUGGAGGGGGAUAACUACUGGAAACGGUAGCUAAUACCGCAUAACGUCUUCGGACCAAAGUGGGGGACCUUCGGGCCUCACACCAUCGGAUGUGCCCAGAUGGGAUUAGCUAGUAGGUGGGGUAAUGGCUCACCUAGGCGACGAUCCCUAGCUGGUCUGAGAGGAUGACCAGCCACACUGGAACUGAGACACGGUCCAGACUCCUACGGGAGGCAGCAGUGGGGAAUAUUGCACAAUGGGCGCAAGCCUGAUGCAGCCAUGCCGCGUGUAUGAAGAAGGCCUUCGGGUUGUAAAGUACUUUCAGCGAGGAGGAAGGCAUUAAGGUUAAUAACCUUAGUGAUUGACGUUACUCGCAGAAGAAGCACCGGCUAACUCCGUG
This 452-nucleotide ribosomal RNA is filed under the name uncultured bacterium. RNAcentral's name for it is "bacterial SSU rRNA". It matches the Rfam family "Bacterial small subunit ribosomal RNA", at positions 64 to 507 of the family's 1533-position model. The record is from RNAcentral.